CAAAAUAGGUGACCGCAGAAAUAGUUAGUGACACGUCUUUGUAGCUGGGAUUCAGGGGUUUUGUUCGCUUCCACAGAUGAGUUGUUUCGUCUUAGUGCAACACCCGGAGAGGUCUAUCCUCUGGUCUGAGUUCUUUUGUUUUUCAAAACAGAAGAUGGUCGAGCAACGGGUUCUACUCAAGGCUCCUACUCCAAAUUUGAAAGCAGGGUAAAAAAGUCAACUCUAAUAUCUACUCCAAUCCUAAAAAUGGGGAUGCCUCUAAAUCUCCCCAUGGCCUGUAGGGUCUCCAGUGAGCCCCUCUAUCUAUCAAACCCACCCAUCAACCCCUCUUUCUCCUUCCUCCCAUGACCUGCUGCUGACACAAGUCCAUGCCACCACCAUUGUGCUAUGCCACACCUCGACCCCCUCUUGUUGCACCCCACCUCCCAUCGCCACACCCCGUCGCUCCAGGGGUGGAGCCUUGUAGUGAAGAGCAAGUGCACGAGAAGGAAGAGGGUGAAGGGGGAGAGGUGGGCAUGGCCCAGGAGGUGGAAAAAAUUUAGACCAGAACAAAAAUGAGAGUUAGGGGUUAUUGCUGGAGUUGAGUGUAUUUUGUGGCUAAAAAAGGAGGGGUUUAUCGAGGCUUGUACUUGAGGGCAAUCUGGUUCGAGUUGCUCAGACUAUGGUUUAUCUGAUUUAUUUUUUGCACGGCGGAGAGAGGACUAUCUCCAGGAUUCGUGAUUAGUAGGCGCACAAAAGGAUAGUAAAUAUAUGCAUGACCUAAGUAUUCCUAAGCAGGUGCUUUCAUACAAAUGGUCACUGAAACUGGAGGUACACGCAUCUGCUGCUAAGCCAUUUGUACCAACUGGUGGCAAUGUGCUAAUAA
This 865-nucleotide long non-coding RNA is filed under the name Setaria viridis. RNAcentral's name for it is "long non-coding RNA (SVIR_LNC000064)". Lineage: Eukaryota; Viridiplantae; Streptophyta; Magnoliopsida; Poales; Poaceae. The record is from RNAcentral.